CCCUUAGAUGUCCUGGGCUGCACGCGCGCUACACUGAUGCAUCCAACAAGUAUUCCUGUCCUGAAAAGGUUGGGUAAUCUCUAAAAAUGCAUCGUGAUGGGGAUGGAUUAUUGCAAUUAUUAAUCUUCAACGAGGAACUCCUAGUAAGUGCAAGUCAUCAGCUUGCGCUGAUUACGUCCCUGCCCUUUGUACACACCGCCCGUCGCUGCUACCGAUUGGUUGAUCUGGUGAAUUAUUCGGACUGCCGGCUGAAGGGGUUUCCUCAUCUGCCAGCGGAAAGUCUUGUUAACCCUAUCAACUAGAGGAAGCAGAAGUCGUAACA
RNAcentral lists this ribosomal RNA (322 nucleotides) under uncultured eukaryote. RNAcentral's name for it is "partial 18S ribosomal RNA". It matches the Rfam family "Eukaryotic small subunit ribosomal RNA", at positions 1470 to 1796 of the family's 1831-position model. The record is from RNAcentral.